CCUUUGCAGACGACUUAAA
RNAcentral lists this small nuclear RNA (19 nucleotides) under Arabidopsis thaliana (thale cress). RNAcentral describes it as "snRNA_15415". Lineage: Eukaryota; Viridiplantae; Streptophyta; Magnoliopsida; Brassicales; Brassicaceae. The record is from RNAcentral.